Molecule: long non-coding RNA, 1260 nt
Organism: Equus asinus (donkey)
Lineage: Eukaryota; Metazoa; Chordata; Mammalia; Perissodactyla; Equidae
Source: Ensembl
AGUGCCCUUAUGAGAGUUACAAGAAAGCUUGCUUCCUCUCUCUGCUCUCUACCAUGUGAGGAUACAAUGAGAGGUCGGCAGUGUGCAACCGAGAAGAUGGCUCUCACCAGAACUUGACCAUGCCAGCACCCUGAUCUUGGACUUCCAGCCUCUAGAACUAUGAGAAAUAAAUUUCUAUCAGUUGUCAGCCACUCAGUCUACAACACUGUUAUAGCAGCCUGAAUAGACCAAGACAUUUGCUUUGCUGUUGCCUUAAAGCACUUGCUUAGUCUAUAGUUCAACCCUGGAUGGAUCAGAAAAAAGAUUCAUUGAAAUAAAAAGAUGUGGAUCUUAGAAAUGCUGUGGAUGGAGAAAAAGGAAAUAAACUCCCAAGGAGAAGCAACUAAAAGAUGUCAGCAACUCUUUUCUCAGACAGGAGUGCACAGCAGGGAGUUCUUUUUCUAUGCCUGUACCUGGCCAGGCAACUGCAUUAUACUUGAUGGAUACAUUUCGGACUCAUUAUUUCCUCUUUGGAACACUGGACUUUUUAUUCAUAUUGAAGGGCUCACAAUGGGCAAAGGUUAGAAAACAGGAAGGCUACUAGUAAUUGAAUGUUCCAUUUAGAACAUAGGCAGGUCAUAGGGGCUGAACGGCGGAAACAGACUUUCAUGCUGAGUCAACUUCCACAACCCAGGUGAAGUUGCUGCUGAGGGAUUUCUGAUCAGAUGAAACUAUUGGAGCUUUAGCUUUUAAAAGAUGCUGUUUCCAUUACAGUAAUGAUGAAUGUCUGAGAGAGUGAUGUCUGCAUAAAACGGAAAGAGCAAAUAGCAACAAAAGUCGUCAAGCCACUGUGGGUGCUUUAUGACACAGGCAGGACUGCUGGGCUGGGAUGUCCCAACUCCAAAUACAAACACCGAACAAGCAAAGAGCAGCCAGCAAAAACACACUGUGAACCUUCUUAUUACACAGAAAGAUACUAUAAGUUAAUUUCAAGGACGAAUACAACACAGAAAAAGGAAUAGAAAUAUUAGUAUAUAUAGACUCUCUGGAAUUGAGUAUAUAUUUCUGGGCUUUUAAAGUUUCCAAAUGUCCUUUUUCUAUUUAUUCAAGGAUUUAAACCACAGAAACAUGAACGUGGCUAUUUUUGUUGGUACUAAAUGAAAGGAUAUGUAAAUUGCAGUAAAAUCUUUUUACUUACAGUAAUGUAACAGUUCAAAAGUCCUAAUAAAAACAUAUCGUAUUUGCUCAUCCCACCAGCUUAGAAUGGUUUCUCUGUGCUAG